Molecule: long non-coding RNA, 520 nt
Filed under: Elaeis guineensis (African oil palm)
Lineage: Eukaryota; Viridiplantae; Streptophyta; Magnoliopsida; Arecales; Arecaceae
Description: long non-coding RNA (EGUI_LNC063429)
Source: RNAcentral
UAGCCGCUUGAAUCCAGUCUGCUUAGUGAAAUUAGAUUACUUCUGAAGCUGGAUAUAUAUCGAACCUCAUUCAACUUCCUCACUGCUCCAUCAUGUGUCUGUAAGCUGACCGUCCCACUAUCUUUGAUCUCAUAGCUCGAUCCAUCCGAUAAGUGAACAGCCCUUACUGCUCUCUAGGGAGUCAAACAGCUCUUCUCUGCAACAAACAUGAUGCGAAUAUGUAGAAUCUAAAAUUCACUGGGAGAAAGAAGUAGAUACCUCAUCAAUCAUCAGAAGAAUAUCAUUACUUUCUUUGUAUCGCUACCUGCCAUCGCCACAGCAGCUUUUGUCCAAUCUCUGAGUUGUGGAUAAUCUCUGACUCGAUGCUCCAACUCAUCACACCGGUAGUACCUGAUCUUGCUCGAAUCCCUUGACUUGGAUCUAGAUCGCCCACUUUGCGAUCUUCUGCCACUUUGUCUUCUGCCACCACUACCUCCAGUCAUCGUCAAAGUCGAGUCACCAUCUGAACUCGAGGCUCGAU